Molecule: long non-coding RNA, 3211 nt
Organism: Lytechinus variegatus (green sea urchin)
Lineage: Eukaryota; Metazoa; Echinodermata; Echinoidea; Temnopleuroida; Toxopneustidae
Exons: 2
Source: RefSeq, a predicted model, not a curated record
UAAUUCAUUAUGCCGGCAUAAUUCUGGCAUAAUUAGCCUUUUUUUUUCUGGCAUAAUUUCGACCCUUUCAGCAUAAUUUGGGGGCAUGAUGAGAUUUUUUUAAGCAAAGAAUCUUGCAUGAUAAUAUCAUUUUUAGCCUAAUUUUGAUGUAUUUGAAGAAUUGAAGACCUUUUUUGGGGGGGGGGGUUCUCCUCGUCAAGUUAAGGUUGAUGACCUUUUUUUUUUUUUGCUUCUCAUUUUUUUUCCUGCUUCCCAACCUCAAAUUUGGGUUCAUGACUCUUCUUUUUUUCUUGCAUAAGGUUCAAAAACGGUUUGGCAUAAUUUGAUUUUUUUUUCACUGGCCACACUGUCAUAGCUGCAUUUUUGAAGUAUUAUUGGAAAGACGAGAUGACGGUCGACGGCCUACCUUCGCUUCGCCACUGCAAAUACAUUCCUGACGUAAAUUACGUCACCUUUUCCGCCAGCUGAUCGAUUUCGGAUUUUCUUUUAAGUUUUGAGACAACUGGAAUCGAUAACUCAACUCAUGCGCGUAGCAUGCGUUAGUUUAGAUUCUAGAAUUAUUUUUUUUUCAUUCUCAGUUAUAACUAGUAAAAUCAACUACGAUUAUUGGACCUAGCUGUAGGGAUAUGUUGACACGAACUUUUCAUGGGAAAAUGGCAUGUUUAUUAUUAAAAAAAAAAUCGCCGGUCUCAAAUCUAGGCAAUUUAUUUUCAGUUUUAUCAAUUGCUUUUAAAUUGAAAAGAGCUAGAUAUUUACUCAGCUACCACCAACAGACCGUCCAAUCUACGAAUUUGGCUUCCCAAGACUUAACCGUCAACCAUCAACCUCUGGAACAAGGUAUUUAUCUAAAAGGAUUAAGGAUUCCUAUUCAUUGAUCUAUUAAAUAUAUUCAAUAAGCGGAGAUGAAAAUAAACUUUUUAUAUCACAUACUUGAAAUUUGUUCAUUUUAUUUCAAUAUUUGAUUUACUCAUAUUCUUUCUUUCCAUCUUGUGGUGUGUGUGUGGGGGGUGUAUGUGAAUCAGUUUCAACACUUUGGAACACAUAUGUAUGAAAAUUGAUCUGAUGAAUGUAUUAAUUUUUCUUCUUUCCGUAAAGAUAUAGAAAUGCAUGUAGAAAUAACAGGAUAAUAAAUGAUAACUAUCAGCCAUACAUUACUAUCCCUUACUCAGCAACAGAAUGUCCAAUUUUCCCUAACUGACUUAACACCGUCAACCUCUGGAACAAGGUAUUUAUUCAUUUCAAAUUCAUUGCUUCAUAUAUUUUAUCAAAUAUAUUAAGUGAGCUUUGAUGGCAAUUAAAGGAAAAUCUAACUUUGUCUGAAAGCAGAAAAAUCAAACAAUCGGAUAAACUUAAAUUAGAAUUAAAAUGUUAAUUGAAAAUAAUCAAAUUAAUCACUUUAACAGCUUCAGGUUAUUUCAAUAGCUAAGCAUAACAAAGUAAAUGGGUAGGGAUGGAGAUUCCUAAGACUGACUCAUGCACCAUUCAUCAACUGUCAUCUUUUUCAUCUGCAACUACCUGAAGCAAAUAUGAAUAAAGGAUAGUUAAUAAAUGAAAUUACAUCAUCUCACAAUCUUCCUAACCAAUCCAAGUUGAUCAAACAAUAGUUUACCAGAGUAUGGCAAACAUUUUAAUUCAAUGAUGAAUGAAACUCAGGUCACCACAUUUAUUGAAAAAAAAAACAAUUGCUACAAAGCUUGUAAUAUUCAGAAAUUUUAAUAUGAAUUCAACAUUUACAGACCAGAAUUCAAACAGAAGUUGGUAUGUAAAUAAAAUCAUCAACCAAUAGUCUCUUGGAAUCCCUUAGUUUGAUUGGCUGUAGGUUUUUACCAUGUUAGUUACCAGUCAGCAGUUCCAUGGUUGUAGACCAAAAUAUGUUAACAUAUGCAUAAAAACACGAUUUAAUGUUAUUUUAAUUUAUCUUGAAUUCAUCUACAUCAAAAUAGAAAUAAAUUGCAGGAAUUCUAUUCCUGAAUUCACCCUAUUCACUCUUUAAACAACUUAUAUUGCACUCUUAAUUCAAAUAGGGAGACUUCAAUUCCACCUAUUCUUCCAAGAAAAAUUACCAAGCCUACUGGACUUGGAUCUACUCUGCAACCAACAACCCCCUCAAGGAAUACAGAAACCAGACCAUCUGCCAAGAGAAGCUUGCACUAUCUAGAACAGCUGGAACCAAAGACAAAGAUAAAAGUCUCAGUCCAGCACAAGAAGUAAUGAUUGAAUUGGCAAGAGAAGAGCAUGCAUGGCUCAAACGUGAGCAUGAAUUACGAGAUGAAAUCCUUCCGUCAGCUAGAAAUACGAACUGCACAAUACAAGGAAGAGGAAGUUCGUAGAUCACUUAACAAGGUCAAUGCUAAUUUGAAUUCAGAUCCUUAAAACUAUUCAUUUCAUAUAUUACAAAUUAAUAAUUUGGAAUAAUAUAAAUAUGUGUAUUUAACUAUGCAUGCCAUAACAUUCUUAGCAUAUCUACUUGUCUACUACUACUACUGUUCAUUGAAUCUUAGUUUAAAAAUCCUUUGAAGUUAACUAGAGUAUAAUUAUUUUUUUCCUUCUCAUCUACAAUGAAUUAAGUAGAGGUAGUGUCUGAUUCCAGAGAGCCUCUGGUCUCUUCUCAUGAUACACUAUUGCAAUGCAACCAUGACAUGAUAGUUGUUCAUAUUCUUGGGGUCUUAUCUCCUUUUUGCAAUUUCAAUAUAGUAAAUUGUAUUAGCAGCAUUUAUCUAUACUAAUCAAUUGACAAAUGUUUGUGUAUUGAAUUUGUAUAUACCACAUCGGAUGAAAUAUAAUAUAUUCUAUACAACAAUAAAAUACAUAUAGUUUACUCAUUGCAAUUUGAACUCUAGAGUUUAUCUUAUGCAUAGGAAUAAUCUAUAUUUCUCAAAUAAUGGUUGUGUAUUGAAUUUGUAUAUAUCACAUUGAGGGAAUGGAAUAUGAUUUUCACUUUUUUUUGUUCACAUGGUUAUUCUUUGCAAUUUGAACACAAAAGUAUGAGCAGAAAUGAUAUAUAUUUAUUGAAUGAUAAAUAUUUGUAAUGAAUUUGUAUAUACUGCAUUGGAAGAAUUAAAUAUAAUAUAUUCUAUACAACAAUAAAAUACAUAGUUACACAUUGCAAUUUGAACUCUAGAGUUUAUCAUAUGAGAAGGAAUAAUCUGUAUUUCUCAAUGAUAAUUGUUUGAGUAUCGAAUUUGUAUAUCACAUCGGGUAUAAGCAGAAA